Molecule: long non-coding RNA, 2326 nt
Filed under: Gossypium barbadense (sea-island cotton)
Lineage: Eukaryota; Viridiplantae; Streptophyta; Magnoliopsida; Malvales; Malvaceae
Description: long non-coding RNA (GBAR_LNC010058)
Source: RNAcentral
UUAAAUAUUGUAAUAAUACUGUAGCUUGAGAUAAAAAGUAAACUAAACGCACCACACCGCAAACCCAUCAAAGUGUAUUUAUUAUCCUACGAAACACAAAAGUAAAGGAAACCCUAAAAUCAAAGUAGCUGAACCAAGAAGAGAAAGUACUACCGCACUAAUCUUCUUCUUCUUCUUCUUUUUUCUUUUUUUAUUCCAAUUGUUAAUUGAUAAAGCCCAAAAUGAAUUAUUUGUUGUAGACGAUACUAUUAAAAACUGUGCUCUCUCUCCAUGCCCAUGGAUUCAUUUCCAGAAAUGGAUAGCUUCAACUUGGAAAACGCUAGCCUCAACAUUAGCAAUAACGGUGCCACAUCACUUGCAACCUCGUCUUCUUCGACGUCAAGCCGGUACGAGAACCAAAAGCGCCGUGACUGGAAUACCUUUGGACAGUACCUGAAGAAUCAUAGGCCCCCACUUUCACUCUCCAUGUGUAGUGGAGCACACGUCCUCGAGUAUAGAUGAUUAUAAAUUAUGAAAGUUAUGAAAUUUUAAAAUAAUAAUAAAUAAUAACUAAUUAUCAUUAUAAAUUAUAAUUACAAUAUUAAUUAAAAAAUAACAUAUAAAGUAAAAUUAUAAACCUGAUAAGAUUGAAGCUUUCAUAUUAAAAAAUAUAAUGAUAUGAUUGUUAUCAAUGCAAUUUUCAUUUUCUAUAAAAUCUCUCCAAACUCUAAUAAAUCAACCCAAAUAUACUUUGCUUCAACAAGUUAAAAGAGGAUGGGAGUGAGAGGUGGAAUUCACUCUUUUCCACUUUAAAUACUUACUAGUUUAUAGAAAUAGCAUGUGAAAACAUUUACGUAAUAUAUUUAUAAAAAAAUUGCUAUGAAAAUUAAGGGCAUGAAAUGAUAAAGUUAAGAUGAUUUUAAUGUUGGAUUUCAAAUGUCAUUAUUUACAUUUAUAUGCAUGUAUUUUUUUUCUAAAUUUAUCAAAUAUAAAAAUAUAUAAAUACCUCAAAAUAAUAUUUGUUGUUUUAUAAAAUGAAUGGAUAAUAAUUUUCUAAUUGAGUUUGGUCUCGGUUAUUAGGUUACAUCAACUCAAUCAACUCCUUAAUUUAUAGUAUAGAUGAUUUUUUAUGGUUGCAUUAGCAUAGUAUAUAAUUACACAAGAAAAUUAUUAAAACUCCAUAUGUGUACGUAAAAAUUUAAUUUCAUAAAUUAUUAAUAUGUUAAAAUUUAUAUCAAUAAAAAUUAAACAAAUAGAAUAUAAAUAUUUAUAUUAUACUUAAUUGUCGAUAAGUUAAUGUCAAGAGUCAACUAAACACUAACUUGAUUGGAAAUUAAUUAAAAAAACAUAACCUUUUUACAAAGUAGCAAAUAUUAAAAUAUAAAAGUAUUUUUACAUUUUAUACAAAAUACAAAAAAAAAUCAAUUUAAAUCCAAAAUACAUAUAGAAAAAUACAAACAAUAAUCAUAUUUAAAAACUUUCAAAUCCUCAAUUUUAUCAUUCAAAUUAAAUCUCAUUUUUUAUAUUAAUUUUAAUAAAUAUAGUAAGGAUAUCAUUCUCAUUAAAUAAUAUAUACUGAUUUUAUUUUAAAAAUAAUUAUAUACAUAUAUAUGUUUAACAGUUAUAAUGAAUUCUAAUUUCAAGUCUUACAGCCUAUUAAUUUUACAGCCUAUUAAUUUUAGUCAAAGUGCCAAAUUUACACCUAUUAAACAGUGACCUGUCAUGAAAAUAUUGGAAGCCUAAACGGUGCCUUGGUUUUGGCUAGGAGUAAAGACAUUAAAAAUGAAAAAAAUAAAGAAAAAGGGAAAUCAAACGUCAGAAAUAUCAGAAACAGAAAGAAAAACUGAAGAAGAGUCAAGAGGGAAAUCAAACGCCAGUUUCCACUUUCCAGCUUCCAAGAUCUCUCUUCUCUUGCUCGUUUUCAUCUUCGUUGCUGGAUUGAUUUCAUUUUCUCGAUCUUACAACGAUUAGUAAGGGAUUGAUUCACUUUGUGAUCUAAAGUCUAAACUCUAUCAUCCUCUCAAAAAAACUCUGAAUCUACUGCAAAAACAAGCAAGAAUCAACAAGACGAAGUUUUAGGUACUUACUUGAAGAUUAUCAGUCUCUGAAUCUGAAUGUGAAGUGAUCAGUUUACUUUGUUUGCCGUUUGGGUUUCAGUUUAGCGACCGAAAUAUGAGAAAGGAGUUUUGAAUUUUGCUUGCUUAUUUGCUUGCUGUUUAUUUGGUUUCAGUUUUUGUUUGCUUUCUUUUUACUUUUUUUUAUUGAAAACACUGAUUUUGCAGGGGAAUAUAUUCCCUUUUGUUUUAUUAAGUUUCACUGUUUCUGUUGAUUUUUAUUUAGAGGAGGG